UUAAGAAAUACUUUUUUAUUUGUAAUAGUAGUAGUUGCUUUGUGGAGGAAGGUAAAUGAAAGGAUAUUUCAUUCCCUUUCUUAAACCACGCACAUAAGGACAGUAUCAGAAUUAGCCACUGGUACAGAAACAGGGCAGUGUAUAGUUACUUUAUACACAGCUGAACCAAACAACUUGCUUUAAGAGCAGUCAGUGUGGAUCACAGCAGUUAUUCAUUUACAUUAAUCAGCUCUCGUUCUCUGCAAUUGCUGUGGGUGAGGUGGCACUCUACUGCAGUCCCUGUACUUUUAUUCUAUGUUAAAGUUUGGUUUUCCAUCCUCACUGUGUUCCAUUUACAUCAUUCUGGAAUGCGAAGUGGUGCUGGCAUGAAAUUUCUCCUAAGAAACUGGAUUUACUGUGAAGAGUACAAGAUGAUUUGGUCAAGUCCCAGAAGUUUUUUUUCUAUUCGUUUACAAGGCCCAAGGAGUCCCUGUCAUCUCAACAGAAGCAAUUGAAUUUGUUUCUUAGAGCCACAACAUGAAAUCAUGUAAAUGGUGUAACUUCUGAAUGUAUUUGUAUCCUGGGGAUGGAAACAAAGCUCAUUAGUGGAAGACAAAAUGGAGUUCAUUCAGUGAUAAUAAUCUAUAGUUCUGUUGUUGUUUUUGGUUGUUUGUUUUUGUCAGAAUUUUAAAAGUGGGGCCAGAUUUUCAGAAGCCUGGUCAUAACUGCUGGAUUUCUCACUCCUUUGUAGUGAGUACUAAAUAUGUAUAAAAAAGUAACAAUGAUGUGGUAGUAUUUACUCUUACAUGAUAACUUCUAAUUAAUAUUAAUUACUUUGCUAUCCAGCCCCCAAAUGAAUGAAUAAGCCGUACAUAAUAUGACCUGGGAAAUGCAUAAGAUCCAAAGAAUCCUUUCUUAGAUUGCUGAACCAUUUUUGUUUAAUGUAGUUGUCUCUAUCUGUGGAAAUACUCUUACAAAUUGAUGGGACUCAUAUAGAAAGGUAUAAAUUUAUUAACUUAUAUCUCUACUUAAACAGUAACCAAAACUAGGUCUAUCUCAGUGUUCACUUGAACCAUUUGGAUAUUUUGGAACUAACUCAUAUUACAUAAUAUUUUAAUGUUAACAUGAGUGGGUAUAUCUUAGUUCGCCUGUAUAUCUUUGUUUUGUUUGUUUGCCCUUCUCUCUUCCCACCUCCCCAUUUGUUUAUUUGUUUGCUUGGUUUUAUUGUUUUGUUUUCCAGACGGAUCAUGUGUAUAUAAAAGGUGGAAGAGAAAGUAUGUUCUAACGUAGGGUACAAGUGCAAGAUUGUUUUGAGUUUGAGAUUUUUGUUUGAUUUUAACUUUGGAUGUCAAUAUCUGCUCAUGUGGUUAUUCUUUGUGUAGCCUGACUCUAGUAAGUUUCUGCUUUAAUUUCUUUUCCAAGAAUCAUCUGGCAAAUGUUUUCUUACAGCAUUUUAUAUAUUAAAACUGAUCUGCUUCUUGAGUUCUUAACUCUUGUUAAAAGAAAGAAAUGUUC
This 1494-nucleotide long non-coding RNA is filed under the name Anas platyrhynchos platyrhynchos (common mallard). Its description in RNAcentral is "lncRNA (ENSAPLG00000024761.1)". Lineage: Eukaryota; Metazoa; Chordata; Aves; Anseriformes; Anatidae. The record is from RNAcentral.